This is a long non-coding RNA of Cyprinus carpio (common carp), 73 nucleotides long. RefSeq lists it as uncharacterized. Lineage: Eukaryota; Metazoa; Chordata; Actinopteri; Cypriniformes; Cyprinidae. The record is from RefSeq and is a predicted model, not a curated record. The transcript is spliced from 2 exons.
CUCCAACUCAGUUUGCAUCGGAGCAGAGACACACUCAGAUCUAAAGCAGCAGUCAUGAGCUGGGACAGCUACA